CCUACGGGAGGCAGCAGUAGGGAAUAUUGCUCAAUGGGGGAAACCCUGAAGCAGCAACGCCGCGUGGAGGAUGAAGGUUUUCGGAUUGUAAACUCCUUUUGUUAGAGAAGAUCAUGACGGUAUCCAACGAAUAAGCACCGGCUAAAUCCGGGCCCGCAGCCGCGGUAAUACGGAGGGGGCAAGCGUUACUCGGAAUCACUGGGCGUAAAGAGCGCGUAGGCGGGAUAGCAAGUCAGAUGUGAAAUCCUAUGGCUCAACCAUGGAACUGCAUUUGAAACUGUUAUUCUAGAGUAUGGGAGAGGUAGGUGGAAUUCUUGGUGUAGGGGUGAAAUCCGUAGAGAUAAAGAAGAAUACUCGUGGCGAAGGCGGCCUGCUGGACCAUAACUGACGCUGAUGCGCGAAAGCGUGGGGAGCAAACAGGAUUAGAUACCCCAGUAGUC
This 440-nucleotide ribosomal RNA is filed under the name uncultured bacterium. RNAcentral's name for it is "partial 16S ribosomal RNA". It matches the Rfam family "Bacterial small subunit ribosomal RNA", at positions 338 to 795 of the family's 1533-position model. The record is from RNAcentral.